UUUUCAUGAGCAUUGUCUAUCACCAAUAGUAACAACGCCUCAGAUCUAAACAAGUUGGGAUCGACUAUAUGAUUUUACUUUAUGCCAUCCGGAACAAUAUAAACAAUAACAAUUCUGUUAUUUUACAUUUUCUCGAUUCCUUUUUAUUUCUGUUUUUAAUUGUUUUGAAGAGCAGGGGCACAUCUAGUUUUUACUCGGAU
RNAcentral lists this long non-coding RNA (200 nucleotides) under Solanum tuberosum (potato). RNAcentral describes it as "long non-coding RNA (STUB_LNC002496)". The record is from RNAcentral. Lineage: Eukaryota; Viridiplantae; Streptophyta; Magnoliopsida; Solanales; Solanaceae.